CUCUACCCGUACCGCAAACCGACACAGGUAGUCGAGGCGAGUAGCCUCAGGUGAGCGAGAGAACUCUCGUUAAGGAACUCGGCAAAAUGACCCCGUAACUUCGGGAGAAGGGGUGCUGACUUUAAGUCAGCCGCAGUGAAUAGGCCCAAGCAACUGUUUAUCAAAAACACAGCUCUCUGCUAAAUCGUAAGAUGAUGUAUAGGGGGUGACGCCUGCCCGGUGCUGGAAGGUUAAGAGGAGUGCUUAGCGUAAGCGAAGGUAUGAAUUGAAGCCCCAGUAAACGGCGGCCGUAACUAUAACGGUCCUAAGGUAGCGAAAUUCCUUGUCGGGUAAGUUCCGACCCGCACGAAAGGCGUAAUGAUUUGGGCACUGUCUCAACGAGAGACUCGGUGAAAUUUUAGUACCUGUGAAGAUGCAGGUUACCCGCGACAGGACGGAAAGACCCCAUGGAGCUUUACUGCAGUUUGAUAUUGAGUGUCUGUACCACAUGUACAGGAUAGGUAGGAGUCUAAGA
RNAcentral lists this ribosomal RNA (514 nucleotides) under Klebsiella pneumoniae. Its description in RNAcentral is "partial 23S ribosomal RNA". It matches the Rfam family "Bacterial large subunit ribosomal RNA", at positions 1636 to 2160 of the family's 2925-position model. The record is from RNAcentral. Lineage: Bacteria; Pseudomonadati; Pseudomonadota; Gammaproteobacteria; Enterobacterales; Enterobacteriaceae.